GCCCGCCCGCGCCUCCAUCCGGGUCCUGGCGCGGUGCUCUCCCGGCAGCGACGGGCGCGAGGGCCGGGGCAUUCCCACGGCCGCGACGGCCCUCUCCGCGAGCGCGAGGAAACCAGGAUUACCGAGGAGGAAAAAAAGCCUUCCUGUGGUGCUCAACUGUGAUUCCUUUUCACCAUUCACCCUGGAUGUUCUCUUCACUGUGGGAUGAGGAUGUACAUGAAGCAUGGCACCAACAGCUGCUCCUGUGAGGCCUCAAGAAGCUUACAAUCGUGGCAGAAGCUGAAGGGGGAGCCAGCGUGUGGCAUGGCAAGGGAAGGAGCAAGAGAGAGAGGGAGGAGCUGCCAGGCUCUUGAACAACCAGAUCUCACGUGAACUCACAGAUUGAAAUUCACUCAUUACUGUGAGGACACACCAAGCCAUUUAUGAGGGAUGCACCCCUAUGACCCAAACACCUCCUACUAGGCCCACCUCCAACAUCAGAGGUCACAUGAAACGAGAUGUAUAGGGGACAAAACAGUCAAACCAUAUCAGUCCCACCAGCAAGAAGGCUCUCACUGGAUGUGGUCCCUUGAUCUUGGACUUCUCAGCCUCUGUAACUGUAAAAAAUAAAUUUUGUUUCUUAUAAAUUA
RNAcentral lists this long non-coding RNA (629 nucleotides) under Homo sapiens (human). RNAcentral describes it as "miRlet-7a-1/let-7f-1/let-7d cluster host gene". The record is from RNAcentral. Lineage: Eukaryota; Metazoa; Chordata; Mammalia; Primates; Hominidae.